CAUGUAUCUGGUGUUGUUUUGUAGAAGUUGUGUUCCAAGAUAUGAUAUUGUACUAGAUGCUCCAAUAUAUUCGAUUUAAGCACCUGUAGCUCCAAGAAACGUUGAUCUGAGGGCGAAGGGAGGCAGAGGAAUAGUGGGAAAUUAAAUGAUAUUAACGGAAGAUUCAUAUGCGAUUUGAUGCAGUUCAAAGACUCUUAAUGUGAUAGAAUCUUACAGUCCUGCUACAAAGGGAAAUCCCUUUUGGUGGUUUUCAGGGGGCUACCGCUGCAAACCAAAGAUGAUAUCAGUCAUAGACUUCACCAGCUCUGGAUCCUCGUUGUAGCUCUCAUAGCAUCGCCCCCAUCGAGGAUCUCGGCAAACUUGUUCAUAACCACAUAUUAAGAAACCUUAAGCAAGCUAGAAUGUUACUAUUUGAAGCAUAUCCAAUCCUGGAUCUUACAGCAACACAUGGAGAGAAUGCAUAAGAAAUUCCCGUAGCUCGAACUUCCAAAGCUGUGGCAGCACCAAUUCUUCUCACCAGCUCAGGAUCUCUUCACGAACCAAACAAAAAUGUAAGAGGAAUCGCAUAUAAAAAGACUACUACAAAUUCAAAAUCUAUCAAUGACCCAUUCAAAUCCCAGGUGAAAGAAAAAUGCCUUUCCUCAAAUUGGAAUGCAUAUGGCACUCUCACAUAGGCAAAUUGAAUGACUCUUGAACUUCAAUGCGUUAAUUCUCCACUUGGAUGCGUUAAAUGUCAUGCGUUUGAAACUGUCAGAAAUAUGAAUGACUCUUGAAUUUCAA
Cryptomeria japonica (Japanese cedar) is the source of this 780-nucleotide long non-coding RNA. RefSeq lists it as uncharacterized. Lineage: Eukaryota; Viridiplantae; Streptophyta; Pinopsida; Cupressales; Cupressaceae. The record is from RefSeq and is a predicted model, not a curated record. The transcript is spliced from 2 exons.